UGCCAUUAAAAGAUACUACAGAUCUGAAAAGUAGGAGGAUGUUCUAAAACAAGCAAAAGGACUGGAUGAGCUUAAACAAAAAAUAUGGAAAAAAAGGAAGAGGAGGCAAAAGGGAAAGAUUUGGGCAGGCAAAGUGUUCACUUGACAGACGCUUCCGGAAAAACUACUCCCACGAGAACGAGAAGUUACGCAUAUAUAGUAGGACUAGUGGAUCUGGCUGAAAGUACAUUUAGAGAACAUUUCCUGGGCCUUUCUUGGAUUAUCAAAA
Long non-coding RNA from Lingula anatina, 268 nucleotides. Lineage: Eukaryota; Metazoa; Brachiopoda; Lingulata; Lingulida; Lingulidae. The record is from RefSeq and is a predicted model, not a curated record.